UGGUGUAUUGGACACCCGGCUUGACGGGUAACGGAGGAUUAUGGUUCGAUUCCGGAGAGGGAGCCUGAAAAACGGCUACCACAUCUAAGGAAGGCAGCAGGCGCGUAAAUUACCCAAUCCUGACUCAGGGAGGUAGUGACGAGAAAUAACAACUCUGUACCUACGUAUAGAGGUUGCAAUGAGGACAAUUUAAAUCCCUUAGCGAGGAACAAUUGGAGGGCAAGUUCUGGUGCCAGCAGCCGCGGUAAUUCCAGCUCCAAUAGCGUAUAUAAAAGUUGUUGCAGUUAAAAAGCUAGUAGUUGAACUUCUGACCGGUCUGGCAUGGCCUUCGGUUGUGUUUAGAUUUGGUCAUCCACCUGAGAACUAUACUCGUCCUUCACUGGGCGGUGUGGGUAUCAGGUACUUUACUGUGAAAAAAUUAUAGUGUUUCAGGCAGGCCAUUGCCGGAAUACAUUAUCAUGGAAUAAUAGAAUAGGACUUUGGUCCAUUUUAUUGGUUAUUGGGUCAAAGUAAUGAUUAACAGGGACAGUUGGGGGCAUUAGUAUUUAAUUGUCAGAGGUGAAAUUCUUGGAUUUAUUAAAGACUAACUUAGGCGAAAGCAUUUGCCAAGGAUGUUUUCAUUAAUCAAGAACGAAAGUUAGGGGAUCAAAGACGAUC
This 657-nucleotide ribosomal RNA is filed under the name uncultured ciliate. RNAcentral describes it as "bacterial SSU rRNA". It matches the Rfam family "Eukaryotic small subunit ribosomal RNA", at positions 329 to 1009 of the family's 1831-position model. The record is from RNAcentral. Lineage: Eukaryota; Ciliophora.